GUUAGUGUAGCAAAACCCGGUGUUGCAAAAGACCUAAACCCUUUCUACAGAAGUUCAAAUCCUCUCGCUAACU
RNAcentral lists this transfer RNA (73 nucleotides) under Gastrotheca aguaruna. RNAcentral describes it as "tRNA-Leu". It matches the Rfam family "tRNA". Rfam says of the family: Transfer RNA (tRNA) molecules are approximately 80 nucleotides in length. Their secondary structure includes four short double-helical elements and three loops (D, anti-codon, and T loops). RNAcentral also lists the same sequence under 2 other names. Lineage: Eukaryota; Metazoa; Chordata; Amphibia; Anura; Hemiphractidae. The record is from RNAcentral.